GUUGACCUCGGAUCAGGUAGGAAUACCCGCUGAACUUAAGCAUAUCAAUAAGCGGAGGAAAAGAAACCAACAGGGAUUGCCCCAGUAACGGCGAGUGAAGCGGCAACAGCUCAAAUUUGAAAUCUGGCCCCAGGCCCGAGUUGUAAUUUGCAGAGGAUGCUUUUGGCGCGGUGCCUUCCGAGUUCCCUGGAACGGGACGCCAUAGAGGGUGAGAGCCCCGUACGGUUGGACACCAAGCCUUUGUAAAGCUCCUUCGACGAGUCGAGUAGUUUGGGAAUGCUGCUCUAAAUGGGAGGUACAUUUCUUCUAAAGCUAAAUAUUGGCCAGAGACCGAUAGCGCACAAGUAGAGUGAUCGAAAGAUGAAAAGCACUUUGAAAAGAGGGUUAAACAGCACGUGAAAUUGUUAAAAGGGAAGCGCUUGUGACCAGACUUGCGUCCGGUGAAUCACCCAGCUCUCGCGGCUGGGGCACUUCGCCGGCACAGGCCAGCAUCAGCUUGCCGUCGGGGACAAAAGCUUCAGGAACGUGGCUCCUCUCGGGGAGUGUUAUAGCCUGUUGCAUAAUACCCUUCGGCGGGCUGAGGUACGCGCUCCGCAAGGAUGCUGGCGUAAUGGUCAUCAGCGACCCGUCUUGAAACACGGACCAAGGAGUCAACCUUAUGUGCGAGUGUUUGGGUGUUAAACCCCUACGCGUAAUGAAAGUGAACGCAGGUGAGAGCUUCGGCGCAUCAUCGACCGAUCCUGAUGUUCUCGGAUGGAUUUGAGUAAGAGCAUAUAGGGUUGGACCCGAAAGAAGGUGAACUAUGCGUGUGUAGGGUGAAGCCAGAGGAAACUCUGGUGGAGGCUCGCAGCGGUUCUGACGUGCAAAUCGAUCGUCAAACAUGCGCAUGGGGGCGAAAGA
RNAcentral lists this ribosomal RNA (900 nucleotides) under Colletotrichum acutatum. RNAcentral's name for it is "eukaryotic LSU rRNA". It matches the Rfam family "Eukaryotic large subunit ribosomal RNA", at positions 1 to 930 of the family's 3401-position model. The record is from RNAcentral. Lineage: Eukaryota; Fungi; Ascomycota; Sordariomycetes; Glomerellales; Glomerellaceae.